GGAUAUAUUUAUUUCGGGUAUGAGUAUUCUCUGGGACGAGGAUUUCAAUUACCAGAGAUUUUGGCCGGGAUUUCAAUUCAUACUUGGGGUAUGAAGAUCGAUAUUGUACCUUUACCCGGCCGACCAGGUACAGGGUAUGCUCACCCCUAAUUAUGAAUGUACCAUGAAUGUAUUAUUUCAUCGAUUUCAUUAAGAAAUUUGAAAUAAGAAUAUCUCCAUGUUUUCUUCAAGCACAAAGUGCCAUAAAAACUCCAUAAUCCCAAUAUAAAACCAAGUAUUAAGCUUAUAUAGAUUCCUAUAAUGUUUGAAUCAAUGGGUUUUUUGUCUGAAACCAAUCUCGGUGUUUGCUCAUGAUCACAACUUUUUUCCAAAGGAAAUCCACAGAGAUAGGGAUUGUUAGCGUAAACCAAAGGAUCGACAAAGGUUUGAAAUUGGAAACCUGAUGGUAUACUCCCUGAGAGAUUGUUAAAAGACAGGUUCAAAUCACUCAAUGACGUCAUUCUCCUCAUUGUCUUUGGAAUUUGACCUGAUAAAUUAUUUUGAGACAAAUCCAAUGCUUGGAGAUCCUUCAGUGCACUCAUGGUAUCUGGAAUUUUAGCUGUUAGCCGAUUCCUUGAUAAAUUAAGAUUCACCAAGAAAGUAAGUUUCCCCAAUUCCCUUGGAACCUCGCCAUCCAAUUCGUUCAUCGAGAGAUCUAUGCUUGUGAAUAAUGGUAGUAACUUUGUGUAUGUUAUUACACUUCUUUUAAAGGUGAUAGAUAUGUCAUCUGUGUAAAUAUCUCCUUGCUCUGCCAUACCACUACUAUCACCGAUCUCAAAAUUAGAAUGUGUCAUCUCCUCAUCUAUCAUGUGCUUUUGCGACAUUGCCUUGAAAUCUGCAAAGCUUUUAGGAAUUCUCCCAGAUAGAUGAUUUUGAGAAAGAUCCAAUAAUUGAAGAGAAGAUAAAUUUGAGAGAAGCAGAGGAAUCUUUCCUGAAAACAUAUUCGAUCUUAAUAUCAAAACCUUUAAAGAUGUUAACAUCGGACCUGAAUCCCAAAUCGAGAGGUUUCCUGAUAAGUUGUUAUUACCAAGAUCAAGAAUGACAAUAUCAUUGCAAAGUUUGAGGGAUGUUGGUAGAGUUCCUGAGAUGUUGUUGUUUUCCAAAUUCAAUGCUUGGAGAUUGCAUACAGAAUUAUUUGAUGAGGGAAUUGUGGCUUGAAGAUUGUUCCUUGCUAAGUUUAGAAUACCAUUUAUGCCCAUUAGACAACCAGGUACUUCACCUGUGAAAUGAUUCCUUGAAAGAUCCAAUGAAGUUAGAUUCAUUUUGCAGAGUGAAGUUGGAAUCGUACCUGAAAGUAGAUGAUGAAUAAUAUUAUGCAUUUUUACUUGCAAAAAAUAAUCUAGUUUGUUAGAAAAUUAAGAACAAAUAUAUUAUGUAUGUACCUUCAAAUUUAUUGUUUCUUAGAUUGAUAUCAAAAUCAGAUAGGAAGCCAUAAUAUUCCAGAUAUGCAAAAUCAGGUAAACUUCCUAUUAAUCCGUUGCUUGAGAGUUGUAUAUAUGUAAUAGACGACGAGAAAUCCCAAAUCCAUUUUGGAAGGGUACUUAACAUUCCAGUAUUUGUAAUGCUCAGAAUUUCGAUAUCUUUUUGAGUUUGUAUCCAUGAGGGAAAUUCAGACCCAAUUUCACAGAAAGAAAGGUACAAAUAUGAAAGACUGAAUGGCGGAAUCCAAUUUUUAGACACGUUCAGAAUCAAUGAUUUAGAUCCAGUUAAUCUUAAAUCUUGCAAAUUUGAUAGAAUUUGAAGAUCUGAUUCCAAUACAACUCCUUUUAGACCUUUCCCUCCCAAGUCCAAGACCUCUAAGAGUGGGUUCUGAAAUAGACAGCUUGGAAUAGUCCCAUUCAUAUUAUCAUUAUUGGAAAGAUGGAGAAAUUCAAGUUUAGAAAGAUUACAUAAUGACUCAGGUAUUGAUCCAAGAAGUUGAUUGUGGCCAAGAUCUAAUUCUAUCAGAUACUUCAAUUUCCCAAUUGAAAUGGGAAUGAAUCCGACCAAUGUAUUGGUUUCAAGAUUCAGUUGUUGUAGAGAAGAGAGUGGUGUUCCAAUGGAUGUUGGAAUCUUUCCAGAUAAGUUAUUAUUGCGGAGAUUAAGAUUCUGCAACGAUGAGAUUUCAAAAAUCGAUCGAGGGAUGGAAUGACUUAAUUUGUUGGAGGAAAAAUCUACAAUCUUCAGCAAAGAUAAUUGCCCAAUAGAUUUUGGAAUAGAACCAAUCAUUCUAUUAUCAGAAAAAUUGAUCACUUCAAGAUUUGAUAAAUUUCCAAUAGAUUUUGGAAUGGAACCAUUAAACAUGUUAUUAGAAAGAUUAAUCUCGCGAAGAUGAACUGAAAACUCUCCAAGAGACUCUGGAAUUGAACCACCUAAGUGAUUUUCUGAAAAAUCAAAAGAUCUUAGUUUGCUGAGAUUUUGAAUCCCAAGUGGAAAACCAAUGGCGUUACUAUUGGGACUCCAAAUCACAGCUUCAAGAUUUAAAUCCUCGAUGUUUGGUAAUCGAAACAUCCAAUCUGGAAAUGCAGAAUCGAUCAUUGGAUUAUUGGAAAGAUCUAAUUUUACGAGAGAAGUGAAAUUAACAUGUGGAAGAAUAGAAUCAGAAAUCGAUCCUAUAUCGCAGUUGGACAAUCUAAUGACUGAAAUUGAAGACAAGGCAUUGAGAGAUUCCAACCAACCAGAAGUAUUUCGUAAACUAACUCCACUCAUAUCAAGAUAUUUCAAAGAUGAAAGAUUGGAAAAUAACCCCCCAUUUUCUAAUGAGAGUCCUCUAUUCCCAGACAGAUCUAAAUGUUGAAUCCUACGGAGACUUUGCAUCUUUAACGGUACGAUUCCGACAAGAAAUGCAUUAGACAAACUAAGAUACCUCAAAUCAUGGAACUCUGAAAUCAAAUCUAAAAUUAAGUUGGAUUUUCUCAUUUGGACACUGCAUUGAAUGAAGUUGAUGCCACUCAAAUCCAAAUGCUGUAAGUAUUUUAAGUAAAGCAAAGAUGCAUCAAAUUCACCUGAGAAAAACCUCAUGUAACUAAGAUCAAGCUUGAUGACACGAACACCGGUAUGGGUACUAUUGGUGCAAAGAAUUCCUUUCCAUUUGCAGCAUUCAUUACCCUUCCAGGCAUAAAACUCAUUUGGGUCUUCAAUCUUGCUUUUAAAUUUGAUGAGAGCAUCCCUCUCCUUGGAAGAACAACCUACUGACACCACCUCCGAACAUGAUGACCAUUGAACUUUGACGAGGAGAGAAGCAACACAGAGAGUAACAACAGCUGAAGAAAUAAUAUUCAUGACUGAUUGAAAACAAUGUUGGUGGAAGAAAUGAGUCAAAUUGAAGUUGAUUUUAUGGAACUUUUAGCCAAAAAUUUCGUGUAUAAUUGAAAUAUGUUUUGAAAAGUAAAGGUAUAAACAAUUUAGAAUUCAACAAAGAUGGCUACAAAAGCCAAAAGCACAUACCGACUUAGACAUUUAGUGGAAACAUUAGUGGAGAUUAUUUUCACAUAGAUCCUUAUUAUUUUAAGAUAUUUUGCACCACAGCAACUUAAAAACAGGUUGUUUAAUCAAAAGAUUAAAGAUCUAGGAAGUUUAAUUUCAUAAUUGAAUAAUCUAAACGAUUACAGAUUAAGAAAGAAUCUAAAUAUUAAAAGUAUAUUUUUAAAAAGUAUUUACCCCGCCCAAGUGCCCAACCAUAUGUAAAGGGAUGGAACUUAUGGAAGUCAUUUGAAUAAAUGUUAUCAAAAAGAACAUCUCAUGUAUUUAAUCUAUUCUGCCAAUCAGAAAUAAUUAUCUACUUACUACCUUCAGUGGCAAGUUUAAUUCUUUGGUGAUGUUCUGCCACCUUGUACUCAACUAUUUCCUGGAAAAGAUGGGCAUCCAAAACACAGUCAUGGCGGCCAUAUACAGAUGCUUGGACACUCGCCAUGAGUUUAGCAAUUUCCCUACCUGAAAACCCAUCACACUUUUGAGCAGCUUCACGGAAGAUGUCUUCAGACAUGUCUUCCUUCACAGUAAUGGCCUGCUGAUCUUUUCUAAAGAAUGAUUUCCAUUUGGAGGAUUGUUUGUCGUCUUUGCGAGAUAUGUACUUGUUUAAAUAAAGCUUCAACAGUUCGUGGCGUUCUUCCACACCAGGAAGGGGAAACUCGAGUACUUCAUCUAUUCGAUCUGUAAUUGCGGCAUCAAGGUCCCCUGGUCUGUUUGUAGCCAGCACAAGGACAAUGUCUCUUGAUUGAUCACCUGUGCGAAAAAGAAGAGCAUUUAAAGCACUUCUCUGUGCUUCACUCAUAUGAAUGCUGUUCCUUCUGCAAAUAUAACGAGAAAGGAAGAAGAGUUUAGAAAUAGUUAUAAAAAUAUAUUAUUUUAUAAAUACCGUCAAUAACUGUAGAAAUUGUUUAACUUCAAAAUGAGAUAAUGCAGUCAUUAUCAUCAUAAUUAUAACCAUAGUUCAAAAAAGCGAAAAGCGCUUCCACUUUUCAAGAAGAGUUUUUUUUGCUUUAAGGGCUUAAAGUGCCAAGGGUAUUUUAGUAAUAUUCUGCAAAAAUACAUAUAAUCCUAUAUAAAUACACAAAAUCUAUAGAAAAUUAAAAAUACCUUAAAAAAUCACAUGUAAUAUAAUAUUAAAUAUUUAUUUCAUAUAACUAAAAUUAAAUCCAACUAAAAUCUGAAAUUGGGGUAAGGGUUUUUAAUUUAAGUUAGAAUAGAGUAGAACUGGAAAAAAAGUAUAUUAGGUGAAAAUAUUAUUAAAUAAUAGGUGUAAUUGGGUAAUCAAGCGGAUCUUUACCCGAACCCGCUCGAUUACCCACUUUAGGAAAAGCGCUCCUCCAAGAGAGCUUUAGCGUGCUUUAAGCGUGCUUAAAGCGACACUUUCAAAACUAUGAUUAUAACAAUAAACAUGUUGCUAAAUUAAGUUCUAAGGACACGAUAGGAAAUUAGAAUGAAUGAAAUGUUUCAUUACUUCACUUUUCACUUUUUUCAACAAUAAAUAUACUGCAUGCAUAUUAAAAAAAUCUUACAAUAAUAUAGUUUACCUGAAAUAUUAAACAAACAAAAUAAACAAUAGCUUACUCGCAUAGAAAUGCAUCUGCCUCGUCAAUAAAUAGUAAUAAACCUUUUUUGGACUUUUUAGCCCAAUCAAAAAUUUGAUGUAUUUUUGUAACUGCCUGUGAACCCAACGGUGCAACAUCUCCUCCUGUCAUCAUUGCAUAAUCAAGUCCCUGUCAAAUUAUCAAAGUUUAGUUAAAGAAAAAAGUUCUAUACAAGUUUAUAAACAAGCAGACCUCAUAUGCAAAAUCUAGAGUAAAAUCAUCCACCUUAGACAUAUGAACUAAAUACAAUUUAUUUUAUCAUUAUCGGCAAAGAAAGUAGUAGUUAUAGACUUAUAUAACCAUAUUUUAGAAAUAUGUAGCCUCAUAUAAGCAUCAAUCAAAUAGAAGUUUGAUGGUUGAUACCAUUAAUCUACUUUAGCAUUGGUGCACAGAAUACAGAUGUACUUGAAGGUACACAAGUACACAACAAUAAAGAAUAAAUCACGUUAGGCAACUGCACAAACAGUAUGGUAUGAUGAAAUCAUUUCCCAUUGUAAUUGAUUGGCAAAGUGUGACUGGUUAGAUAACUUCAUUUCUUUUAAAAAAUUCUGUAACAGAUGCGAGUUAUACAAUGAUACAAAGGAUCAUGAGUAUAUAAGAGGUGAAUUAACAUCUACAAAAGACGGCAAUUGCCACUACAUCUCAUAUUUACCUGGACUGGGGGAAAAAGUAUUAAAUAGCAGAGAUAAAAAUGAUGUUUAAGAGCCAAGUUAAAAGAACUCUUCAUUGAUAUAAAUAAAAAUAGUAUAUACUAUAUAUACUCAUGCUAACCAAGCAAAAAAAUAUUGCAUGUCUAAAGGAUGCCAUGUAAUAUCUCGC
Molecule: long non-coding RNA, 5909 nt
Filed under: Zostera marina
Lineage: Eukaryota; Viridiplantae; Streptophyta; Magnoliopsida; Alismatales; Zosteraceae
Description: long non-coding RNA (ZMAR_LNC002206)
Source: RNAcentral